AGUGAACGCUGGCGGCAGGCCUAACACAUGCAAGUCGAGCGGCAGCGCGUCCGACCACCCUCGGGUGGUCGGAUGGCGGCGAGCGGCGGACGGGUGAGGAAUGCAUCGGAAUCUGCCUCGUUGUGGGGGAUAACGUAGGGAAACUUACGCUAAUACCGCAUACGACCUACGGGUGAAAGUGGGGGACCUUCGGGCCUCACGCGAUGAGAUGAGCCGAUGCCGGAUUAGCUAGUUGGCGGGGUAAAGGCCCACCAAGGCGACGAUCCGUAGCUGGUCUGAGAGGAUGAUCAGCCACACUGGAACUGAGACACGGUCCAGACUCCUACGGGAGGCAGCAGUGGGGAAUAUUGGACAAUGGGGGCAACCCUGAUCCAGCCAUGCCGCGUGUGUGAAGAAGGCCUUCGGGUUGUAAAGCACUUUUGUUGGGGAAGAAACCGGCCGGGUUAAUACCCUGGUUGAAUGACGGUACCCAAAGAAUAAGCACCGGCUAACUUCGUGCCAGCAGCCGCGGUAAUACGAAGGGUGCAAGCGUUACUCGGAAUUACUGGGCGUAAAGCGUG
This 560-nucleotide ribosomal RNA is filed under the name uncultured bacterium. RNAcentral's name for it is "bacterial SSU rRNA". It matches the Rfam family "Bacterial small subunit ribosomal RNA", at positions 28 to 569 of the family's 1533-position model. The record is from RNAcentral.